AUCUUUGGUUAUUUAGCUUUCUGAUUGCCCGUACAAACAUCAUAAAGCUAUUUAACCAAAUUU
RNAcentral lists this microRNA precursor (63 nucleotides) under Tetranychus urticae (two-spotted spider mite). RNAcentral describes it as "mir-9/mir-79 microRNA precursor family". It matches the Rfam family "mir-9/mir-79 microRNA precursor family", at positions 1 to 62 of the family's 78-position model. From Rfam's summary of the family: The mature ~21nt miRNAs are processed from hairpin precursor sequences represented here. miR-9 is processed from the 5' arm of its precursor, and miR-79 from the 3' arm. The bounds of the precursors are predicted based on conservation and base pairing and are not generally known. The record is from RNAcentral. Lineage: Eukaryota; Metazoa; Arthropoda; Arachnida; Trombidiformes; Tetranychidae.